RNAcentral lists this ribosomal RNA (497 nucleotides) under uncultured bacterium. Its description in RNAcentral is "partial 16S ribosomal RNA". It matches the Rfam family "Bacterial small subunit ribosomal RNA", at positions 28 to 507 of the family's 1533-position model. The record is from RNAcentral.
GAUGAACGCUGGCGGCGUGCCUAAUACAUGCAAGUCGAGCGAACGGACCCGAAGUUUGCUGUUCUGAUGUUUGCGGCGGACGGGUGUGUAACACGUGGAUAACCUACUUAUAAGACUGGGAACACUUCGGGAAACCGGAGCUAACACCGGAUAAUAUUUUGUACCGUAGGGUUCAUAAGUGAAAUACUGUGUUGCUGUCACUUAUAGAUGGUUCCGCGCUGCAUUAGCUAGUUGGUAAGGUAACGGCUUACCAAGGCAACGAUGCAUAGACGACCUGAGAGGGUGAUCGGCCACACUGGAACUGAGACACGGACCAGACUCCUACGAGAGGGAGCAGUAGGGAAUCGUACGCAGUAGGCGAGAGCCUGACAGAGCAGCGCCGAGUGAGUGAUGAAGGUCUUCGGAGCGUAAAAAUCUGUUAUUAGGGAUGAACAUAUGUGUAAGUAACUGUACCCAUCUUGACGGUACCUGAUCAGAAAGCGACGGCUAACUACGUG